GCGGUUGUAGCUAAGUCGGUUAGAGUACCGGCCUGUCACGCCGGGGGUCGCGGGUUCGAGCCCCGUCAACCGCGCCA
This 77-nucleotide transfer RNA is filed under the name Alphaproteobacteria bacterium. RNAcentral's name for it is "tRNA-Asp". It matches the Rfam family "tRNA". From Rfam's summary of the family: Transfer RNA (tRNA) molecules are approximately 80 nucleotides in length. Their secondary structure includes four short double-helical elements and three loops (D, anti-codon, and T loops). Further hydrogen bonds mediate the characteristic L-shaped molecular structure. tRNAs have two regions of fundamental functional importance: the anti-codon, which is responsible for specific mRNA codon recognition, and the 3' end, to which the tRNAs corresponding amino acid is attached (by aminoacyl-tRNA synthetases). tRNAs cope with the degeneracy of the genetic code in two manners: having more than one tRNA (with a specific anti-codon) for a particular amino acid; and 'wobble' base-pairing, i.e. permitting non-standard base-pairing at the 3rd anti-codon position. The record is from RNAcentral. Lineage: Bacteria; Pseudomonadati; Pseudomonadota; Alphaproteobacteria.